CCCAGUGGUUAGUCAGCUAUCCAGUGCCUGUGAUAGUGUUACAUUGCUGGGAGAACAAGACAAUGCACCCAAUGCUGGUGUCCCACUGUUACUGUUCUGGUGACGUGUAGCACAUGCAACUAGGCAUUGUUGUACUUCCUCACGAGUGCGCCAAACAUCUACCAUGUUUGUUUUGGAGCUAGUCUGGAAGCACACAGA
Molecule: small nucleolar RNA, 198 nt
Organism: Leptobrachium leishanense (Leishan spiny toad)
Lineage: Eukaryota; Metazoa; Chordata; Amphibia; Anura; Megophryidae
Gene: SNORA74
Rfam family: Small nucleolar RNA SNORA74
About the family: U19 belongs to the H/ACA class of snoRNAs. snoRNAs bind a number of proteins (including dyskerin, Gar1p and Nop10p in the case of the H/ACA class) to form snoRNP complexes. This class are thought to guide the sites of modification of uridines to pseudouridines by forming direct base pairing interactions with substrate RNAs. Targets may include ribosomal and spliceosomal RNAs but the exact functions of many snoRNAs, including U19, are not confirmed.
Source: Ensembl